Molecule: ribosomal RNA, 484 nt
Filed under: uncultured bacterium
Lineage: Bacteria
Description: partial 16S ribosomal RNA
Rfam family: Bacterial small subunit ribosomal RNA
Source: RNAcentral
AUUGAACGCUAGCGGGAUGCUUUACACAUGCAAGUCGAACGGCAGCGCGGACUUCGGUCUGGCGGCGAGUGGCGAACGGGUGAGUAAUGUAUCGGAACGUGCCCAGUAGCGGGGGAUAACUACGCGAAAGCGUAGCUAAUACCGCAUACGCCCUACGGGGGAAAGCAGGGGAUCGUAAGACCUUGCACUAUUGGAGCGGCCGAUAUCGGAUUAGCUAGUUGGCGAGGUAACGGCUCACCAAGGCGACGAUCCGUAGCUGGUUUGAGAGGACGACCAGCCACACUGGGACUGAGACACGGCCCAGACUCCUACGGGAGGCAGCAGUUGGGAAUUUUGGGCAAUGGGGGCAACCCUGAUCCAGCCAUCCCGCGUAUGCGAUGAAGGCCUUCGGGUUGUAAAGCACUUUUGGCAGGAAAGAAACGUCGCGGGCUAAUACCCCGUGGAACUGACGGUACCUGCAGAAUAAGCACCGGCUAACUACGUG